UAAGGUUUUCUUCAUUUUCUAUUGGAAUUUUUCUGGGAUUCUUGUUGUUGAAGGUUGAUGAAAAUGAUAUAAAGAUGAAAAAUAGGAGAAG
This 91-nucleotide microRNA precursor is filed under the name Medicago truncatula (barrel medic). Its description in RNAcentral is "MIR5298 microRNA precursor family". It matches the Rfam family "MIR5298 microRNA precursor family". Lineage: Eukaryota; Viridiplantae; Streptophyta; Magnoliopsida; Fabales; Fabaceae. The record is from Rfam by way of RNAcentral.